CCCUUAGAUGUUCUGGGCUGCACGCGCGCUACACUGACGCACGCAACAGGUGCCUGCUCCGAGAGGACUGGGUAAUAAUUUGAGUGUGCGUCGUGAUGGGGAUAGAAUAUUGUAAUUAUUACUCUUCAACGAGGAAUUCCUAGUAAGCGCAAGUCAGCAGCUUGCGCUGAUUACGUCCCUGCCCUUUGUACACACCGCCCGUCGCUCCUACCGAUGGGUGAUCCGGUGAAUGAUUCGGACUUCAGCGGCUCCUCUGGGGUGCGCCGGAGAAAGUUUUGUGAACCUUAUCACUUGGAGGAAGGAGAAGUCGUAACA
This 315-nucleotide ribosomal RNA is filed under the name uncultured eukaryote. Its description in RNAcentral is "partial 18S ribosomal RNA". It matches the Rfam family "Eukaryotic small subunit ribosomal RNA", at positions 1470 to 1796 of the family's 1831-position model. The record is from RNAcentral.